UGGCGGACGGGUGAGUAACGCGUAGGGAUGUGCCUAUGAGUACGGAAUAACCGUUGGAAACGACGGCUAAUACCGUAUACGCCCCAAGGGGGAAAGCUCCGGCGCUCAUAGAGCAACCUGCGUCCGAUUAGCUUGUUGGUGAGGUAAUGGCUCACCAAGGCCGCGAUCGGUAGCUGGUCUGAGAGGAUGGUCAGCCACACUGGGACUGAGACACGGCCCAGACUCC
Molecule: ribosomal RNA, 226 nt
Filed under: uncultured bacterium
Lineage: Bacteria
Description: partial 16S ribosomal RNA
Rfam family: Bacterial small subunit ribosomal RNA
Source: RNAcentral